Molecule: ribosomal RNA, 49 nt
Filed under: Trypethelium platystomum
Lineage: Eukaryota; Fungi; Ascomycota; Dothideomycetes; Trypetheliales; Trypetheliaceae
Description: partial 28S ribosomal RNA
Source: RNAcentral
GGAUCAGGUAGGAAUACCCGCUGAACUUAAGCAUAUCAAAAGCGGAGGA